UGGCUUCCAUGGCAUUCUCAAGUUCUCAAUUCCACAUUUACUUACGUAAUGUAUUUGUAUAGGCUUGUAUGUGCACAAAUUACGCAAUCACGUGCCUUUAUUGUUGGAUGGUGAAUGAUUGCAUGCAUUGAAUGUAUUGAAUUCUAACUCUUGUUCUUUCGUCAAGGUUGUGAGAGAAAAUGAUGCUAAAAGCCCGACUCGGAUUUCUUUGCUAAAAAUUAUGCAUCUGAAGUUGAGGCAUUUAAGUCCCUUGUUGGUGAAUCUGAUGGGGAGCUUCUAAAGGCCUUCAUUGAUAAAGUUACUUCAGGCAGCGAGGAUAGCAUCUCACCCAUAGUAUUGUCACCAAGUUCUGAUAAAUCCCAUCGAACUUGGUUUCAGGACCAAACUGUGAAAUUGGUUUUCCAGCAUUUGAUAGCAGGGGUCAGGCAGUUGGCCAGAGCAUCUUGGCAGAUUUCUAAGGUAGUGAGUGCACGAGCAAUGAGUUGGCUUACAUGUUUUUGCUUUUGUCAUGCUAAUGGAUGGCUGCUUACAGAUAGACACAUCACAUGUGGUUUAAUACUGAUUUCCCACUUAUAUAUUUUCUGUUCUGCUAACUUGUCAAAUUCUUACCAUAAGAGUCACUGAGGGUGAUUUUGACGUUGCUUAUUUUUCAAGAGAAAUGGUGCAAAAAUAAGCAGAAAUAUGUAAAAGCCAAACCAUCCAUAUAUAAGGAGGGAGUUCGUUGUAAAAGAAUAUAGUAAAAUUGAAUUAUAAUUGGGAAUUUGGGAUAACUACUAAGUACUAUACAAGAGUACUCACAAAAUGUAAUUUA
Molecule: long non-coding RNA, 811 nt
Organism: Tripterygium wilfordii
Lineage: Eukaryota; Viridiplantae; Streptophyta; Magnoliopsida; Celastrales; Celastraceae
Exons: 3
Source: RefSeq, a predicted model, not a curated record